This 4106-nucleotide long non-coding RNA is filed under the name Sus scrofa (pig). RNAcentral's name for it is "lncRNA (ENSSSCG00055002695.1)". Lineage: Eukaryota; Metazoa; Chordata; Mammalia; Artiodactyla; Suidae. The record is from RNAcentral.
AGGCAUAGGAGACAGCCCGCUGGGAAGAACGCGCAUUCCCAGUACCCUAGAAGAAUUUCUAAAUUUCCAUGGGUAAAUGUCCCAUCUGUUUCAAGUUUUGAAGAUGGAACUGGCAGAUCAACAGAUGCAUCAGAUUACUUUAAACGGCACAGCUAGAAUUUGAACCCAGGUCUCAGUGACUGGAAAGCCCAUGCUCUCAUCUUCUACCUCCUAGGAAGAGCUCUUGUCCUCGAGGAAAAAAUCUCUCCUGUACUGUCUCCCAUGGCAUCCACUUAAGGGUACUGGCAGUAGUGACUACCAACACCUUGGCAGAGUGUGUAUGACUUUGGCUGGAUGCAGCUGUGACUAGUUGGCAGUAAAGAAGCAAUUGAAGAUCACUGGGCAGCUACAGUAGCAACAAGAUGACCUCUACUUUUUGUGCCAGAGACCUUGACCUUCAAUUACUUAUUUCUGUAAUUUCUUGGUCAAUAAGAGAGUCUGACAUAAGUUGAAAUGAUCAAGUAUGUUUCCUGAGUGACUUCCAGCUCUGGAAGGAUGAAAUCCUACGAGGGCCAGCGGCUAAGGAAGUUCACUUUGAGAACACUGUGGCCACUGCAUUGGAAGAAAACUGAAAGGAUCAAGACUAUCCUCUUUCACAUCCUCGGCUUUUCUGGGAUUCGCCUGAUGGGGAGUGAGACUGAAAGUGAACUGACCUCAGGUGAUCUGGAUGCAGUGGUGUAAAGGAGCCAAUGUUUAUUUCCACAAAGCUCUCCUGCUGAACUCCAUUUUUCUAUUCUGUGUAGUUCCAGCUUCAUGCCAAUUGAGGGUAAGAUUCUCUGGCUCAAAGAAACCUGGCCAAUUACAAUGAUGGUACAUUUCCCUCUCCUUCCUCCUCCCUCUCCCCUCUAAUCCCUGCAUUGUUUAAAGGUCAGCUCUAUAAAAGUAAUAAUCUAAAUGCAUGAUAAAAACAGUAUUUAGUGAUGUGAAAGAAAGCCCUUUGCCCAAUACCAUCCCUUCAUCCAACUUUCUACGUGCAGUAGUUUUUGACCAUUUCUGUUUUUUAUUCUUGUGGUAGGUAUUUUCAUAUCUCCAAAUAAUAGUCUUAUAACUCCAUUAUAUUAAUAUAUAUAUUAUAUAUUAUCAGUGGAUCCUUAAAACUAUAAAAGAAACUUAGCUCGCAUACGGUAAUACACUGUACCUGACCUCCAAUAUACAAAUUUCAGUAAAUAUUUUGGCUUCCUCCAUUGGCUUAAUAUUAUAAAUAGUGAACUUCAGUAUGUUUUUAUUGAUAUGAUAACCUUAAAUAUGUGUAUUGACUCUCUAAUAAGUCAAAUGUAAAAAUGUGUAUUUCUUGCACUCCUUCCUUUUUGGCUUGUAUUAAUUUUCCCUGGGCCAUAGUUAAGUCUUAUAGACAACUCCAGGGGGCACCAUUCAUUCAUAUGUUUGCAUAGUUAGUGCAGUAAAGUGUCUUGUAGAGGGAAUACUAUUUUGUAAUUCAUAUAAAUACACUGUUUGGCCAAAAAUAGACAAGAUAAAUCUUGUGCAGAAUAUUCUGCAACUCUAAUGAAGUGUUUUGUCCAGAUGUCUAUUCUAAAACCUGAAAACCUGUAAAUCUGAUAACUUUGUAUAUUUUUCACUCUGGAAUUAAUAAGUGUGAUAUGAGCCUUCUGGAAAUGUAGACUCCAACGUGAUUCAAGUUCUGCUGUCUAUAGAAGAAUGUCCCUAAGCAUGCAAGUUGAAGAAUUAUCUUAUUUUACAUGACUUCACUUGAUUUAAAAUCAUGUUACAUUUCAAUUUGCUUCAUAUUUUGACCACAAAAAUUUGUUUUGGCUUUCUUUUUUUGCCUUGAGUUUUUAAUUGCAAUUUUUUUGAUGGUUGAAAGACUAUCAUUAAAUCUUCAAUGAAAUAUUUGUUAAAGUUACUUUUAUUUAUUUGUUUUUAUUAAAAUACAGUUGAUUUUCAAUGUUUUACCAAUUUCUGCUGUACCGCAAAGUAACUCUGACACACACAUACACAUUCUUAAAUAUUACUUUUCAUCAUGGUUUAUCUCAGGAAAUUGGAUUUAAUUUCCUGUGCCAUACAGAAGGGUCUCAUUGUCUGCCUACUCUAAAUGUAAUACUUUGCAUCUAUUAACACUGAACUCCCAGUCCAUCCUCCUCCCCCGGGCAACCACAAGUCUGUUCUCCAUGCCUGUGAGUCUGUUUCUGUUUUGUAGAUAGGUUCAUUUGUGUCAUAUUUUAGAUUCUACAUAUAAGUAUUAUCCAUAGUAUUUGCCCUUCUCUUUCUGACCUACUUCACUUGGUAGGGUAAUUUCUAGUUGCAUCCACAUUGCUGUGGAUGACAUUAUUUCAUUCUUUUUUAUGGCUGAGUAGUAUUCUAUUGCAGGUAUGUACAACAUCUUCUUUAUCCAUUCAUCUGUCAGUGGGCAUUUGGGUUGUUUCUUUGUUUUGGCUAUUGCAAAUAGGCUUCAAGCUACUUUUUAAAUAACCUCCUUCUAGAAAAACUUACAAUUUUCGUUUUUUUUUUCUAGAUCAAACGGACCUAAAUUCCUUGGUCAGCAGUUCAGUUUUUUUCCUUAGGAUUUUUAUUGUUUUUUAACCUCCCUGCCUUUGAUUAGGUUCACCACUUUUUGGAUCUCAUGUUCUCCUUUAUCCUAAAAUUCAUAUUGUGUUUUCUGGAAUGCAACACAGUGAUUUUUGUUAAAGUUACCUCCUAUGCACAUUUUUUUUAAGUCUUAAAAUGUUUGAAUUUCUUCCAUUCCUACUCUAAAAUAAGGAAAAUUAUACUCUAGAAUAUGUCAAUCUAUGCCGAGAAUCUAAUCUUUCCCAGUUGGUUAGUAUAUUUUCUUCUAAAGAACAUGUCUUCCUCUAUGGUCUGAGUACGAACAUCAUGCCGCCAGCCUUUCUUAAAGUGAUAUGGUUCUGCUCCAUCAUUUCUAAUGCUUUCUUAGUGGUCCACUAUUGAUUUAACUAAAUGAUAAUCAAUGGGAAUCCAGUUUGUUUUUAAGAAACUUUGGAACUCUUGCUCUACAACAAUCCUAUGAAGAACAUGAUUUCCUUUAUUUAAAAACAAUGAACUCUGAUACACAGGGUAUUCUAUGCCAGUACCUGUCUAUGUACUUGGUACAUACUACUUACUAAUUGGUACAGUAACCCUAGGAGGUAGUUACUGUUUUAUUUCCAUUUUACAGAUAGGGAAACUGAUGCAUAGGGAAACUGAUGCAUAGAGAGAUUAAGUAACUUGCACAAAGUCAAACAGCAUAACAGACAGGGUAUCCCAUCUUGAUUAAAGAAGAAAGCACUCCUGAUAAUUCUUUAUAGGUGCAUAAGCAAGAGAAUAUUAGAGUGAUAUAAUCUGGAGUUUGAGUUUCAUAAUGAAAAUUCCAAAGACUGGCUCCAGAGUGGCUCAUACGGAUUCUUGGUCCUAAAGGGGCUGGCUCUGAGAGCUGGAGGAAUCCUAUCCAUUUACAGUUCUGCAGUGGAAAAAUUGAUUCGGAACUAGCAAAAGUCGAUUUUAUCAUCUCUGCCUUGUAGGGAACUUAGGUUGUUCUGUUUAUUCUCUAGAGAGGGAGGGGAAAAAAAAAAACUCAAUAGAAAAUUGGGUUAGUUAUGGCCUAGCAAUUGCACCAUGCUGCAUUUGGAACAUCUCACUUUAAAAGUGUAAUCCACAGUUUAUAUAGUUUUAUUAAAAAAAAAGGGCUAAUGUGUUUAGGGAAAUAGAGCCCGGGGCAGGGGAAGGCAUAUUAAUGCGUAAAAGCGAAAGGGCUGUCAGAAUAACCUUGCAGUGAGCUGGUAUUUAUAUCAAGAUUAUAUAGUCAUUCAAGAAAGUUUUUUGCUAAACAAUGGGCAAAUUUGCCCCUUGUCUCCCUGCCCCCCGCCUUUUUUAGAAGGGAAAUGAAGGUUUUGAAUGGCUAUAAUUUAUUCAUCAGUUUCUGCUGCUAGGCUUUUGCAUGCCAAAAGAGGAAAUUUUACAAAGCUGAUGGUACAAAGAAUGUGGCAAUUACUAAAUUUUACUGCAUAUUUUUAUUUGCUAUCAGGUAAUGGAGUGGCAACAGAGGAUACUUGUGGUGAAGGAUAAUAAAGGAGUAAUUGGUAUAGUUUAGCUAAUGAAAAAGCCUUUUGAAAGAG